Molecule: ribosomal RNA, 253 nt
Filed under: uncultured bacterium
Lineage: Bacteria
Description: partial 16S ribosomal RNA
Rfam family: Bacterial small subunit ribosomal RNA
Source: RNAcentral
UACGUAGGGUGCGAGCGUUGUCCGGAAUUAUUGGGCGUAAAGGGCUCGUAGGCGGUUUGUCGCGUCGGGAGUGAAAACACCGGGCUUAACUCGGUGCUUGCUUUCGAUACGGGCAGACUAGAGGCAUGCAGGGGAGAACGGAAUUCCUGGUGUAGCGGUGAAAUGCGCAGAUAUCAGGAGGAACACCGGUGGCGAAGGCGGUUCUCUGGGACGGUACUGACGCUGAGACGCGAAAGCGUGGGGAGCGAACAGG